Molecule: long non-coding RNA, 3706 nt
Filed under: Populus trichocarpa (black cottonwood)
Lineage: Eukaryota; Viridiplantae; Streptophyta; Magnoliopsida; Malpighiales; Salicaceae
Description: long non-coding RNA (PTRI_LNC003412)
Source: RNAcentral
CCUUCUUUGCUUUCGGGGAUUUUGGGGCUUUCUGACGCUGCCUCUUUUUAUUAGGACCAUUUACCUUUUCAACAACACCAGCCUCUUCAACUAGCUCCAGCGGUUCAUCCUUUGUUGAAUAAGGUGGUUGAAACACUUGCAUAUGAUGAGCUGAAGAUGUUUCAGGAAAAACAGCCGCAUAAUUAUGGUUUCCAGGCAACACAUUGAUAAACUUUUCUCUCUGGCCAAUCCAAGCUCCCCUCAUAUACUCCAUAGGGUGCAUGGGCUGCGAAACACCAACAUCUUUGUGGUUAAAACCUCCAUUCAUACUUGUCAUGAUUGCGGCACUGCGCGAACCCAAAAAGGGUUUCUCAGGCAUUGUUGGGGACAUGAGCUGAAGACCCAGAUUUCCUUUAACAGGUGUUGGUUCAUAGUAACCCCAAUUACGAAUAUUCAAACUGUUAUCUUCAUCCAUUAUUUCAAACUUCGACAAUUCAAGAGAACUUAUUUAACCUUAACACAAUUUGUUGUCAGCAUUGUGUGCACCUAAGAAAAUCUCCAAAAAGAUUACAGACGCAAAAAUUAAUUCAAACCCAAAUCACAGAAACCAAAAAAUUAAUAAGCAGAUAGUCAAAUCACAGUAAAGUUUGUGCCUUGAAACUAGCAGAAGUCUCAAUUAGCAGAACUAGUAAGGCAAAAUAAAUAAUAAAAACAUAUGGGUCAUAGCCAGAAAGUAAGAUCUUCGAAUUUUUGGAUUUGUCUGAUAAAAUUUCUUUUAAAGAAAAUAGACAGCCAUUGGCGUAGUAUUUUAGGAAAUAUAAAGCAACUUACUUGAAAGAAGACGUUGAGAGCUUUUUAGGGUUCUUGUUCUCUACUGAAGAAGCACGAAAAAAGAAGUGAUGCACGCCAAUUUUUUUAUGUAUUUACUUUUUACUCAUUUUUUAAAGUGCUCCUUAUCUAGGAAUUUGAGAAUGUUGGUGCGCACUUGCUAGUGAUUUGAGAUCUUUUCGUCUCUGUUUCGUUCUGAGCUUGAAUUUAUUUUUUAUUAAAAUUUAAUUUUUUUAAAUUAAUUUGUUAAUAUUUUACAUGUUUUGAUAUAUUAUGUCAAAAAAAAUUUAAAAUUUAAAAUAUUAUUUUAAUAUACUUUCAAAUAAAAAAUACUUUGAAAGAUAAUUUUUACUACAUUCUCAAACAUCUCAAGAUAAUUAUUUAGACAUUGUUAGUGUGUUUUAAAUAAAAAAAAAUUAUGAUAUAAGUUAUAGGAGCUACUAGGUAUAGUAAAAUAAUUUAAAAAAAAACAAUAAAUGAGUGGAAUUUUUUUUUAAAAUAAAUGAUAACAAUGACAAGAAGAAAAUAAGGCUUAUUAAGUAGAUAAAAAAAUCUGAAUUUUAAAAUAAUUUAAUAUUAAGAAAUGAAAUUUAAAAAAUAACAAAAUUAAAAUGCUCAAAUCAACCAUAAUUAACAUGACAAACUCACAACUUGGAUCAUGAAGUUAGAUUAACCUUAUAAAAAGCAAAUUGAAAAAAAAUAAUGCCUAAAAAAAUAGAACACGUACGAACCCUGGUAAAGCUGUAAAAUCUCGCAAGCUGGAUCAUGCAAACAAGGUACCUAAUAGAAGACAAAACGAGGAAAAUAACGAAGCUUAAUUUUAAAAAGAUCCAAUUUUAAAGGAGAGAACCAAAAAAAAUAUAUAGAAAAAAAGGGUCUAAAAAAUAUACUCGAGUUAAUCAGUCAUAAUUGUUAUCUCGAUCAUAAGAUUGAGAUAACCUGAUUGGGAAACCGAAGAAAAUCAUAAGCCCAUUAUAAGUAACGUCAAAUGAUGAAAUUGUAAAAAAAAAAAACUAAAUGAAAAAAAAAAAAACAAUAUCAACCUGUGUUAACUUCUCAAACUUGUGAUCUAAGUCAUUAAACCAAAAUCACCCCAUCUGAAAAACCACAAAAUCCAAUUCCCAACAAAUAAAAUGUUGGACGAUGAAAUUGAAAAAAAAAUUAAUUAUACAAAAUGAUUCAAAACAAAAAAUAACAAUUAAGAGAAUGAAAAUCAAAUUUAAAAUAAAUAAAUAAAUAAGAUGACAACCUAGAAUUUGAAAUUGAAUGGAAAAAUUAAAAAAAAAUUAACAAAUAUUCAACUUUCUGUUUUUUAAAACUUUACAAACCAAUUUCAAAAACAAAUAUUCAACUUUUUUGUUUUUUUUAAAUUUUUUUAUCUCAAUUUUCAGACAUAAUCUUUUGUUGGAAUCUAUAACUCAGUUAUCAUUUAUUAACAUAAAUAAUUCUCAAUUUAUUUUACAAGUAUAAACUAUUAAUUUUCUUUUGGUUAUAAAAAUAAAAGUUAAAUCCUGCAGCGCGGGGCGUUGUUAAAUAAAUGGUACCAAAAACAGGUCCUUAAUUUUCUAGUUCUAUUUCACUCCAAAUUCAACCUCCUUACAAGCUCCAAUCCUGCCAGCAAAUGGCAGGCAGGACAACCACGGCAGGAACAAAAAACUUGCUAUCUUGUUAGACCACCAUCCACAUAAGAACUCGAACAAAAACGAGGAGAGACCUAUACAUGAUAGAACAUUACCACAAGAGUAAAAUGCAUUCAUCAAACAAAAUAAAUCAGUCACAAUCAACACCCCACAGUAGCCAUGAAAGGACUUGGAACUAUCAUGUUAUUACAACCUCUUAAGGGAAAAAGAAGCAAAACAUCCUCUAAAUUGGGUUAUCAAUAACAAGUUUCUCACCAACAAUGGGGCAAGCCUAAAGCAACUACCUCACAAAAUCAGAAACCAGGUCAUAGGUCCAUGAACCACUCAUUCAUUUACACAUGCUGCAAUAACUUCAGAAAGAAUGAGGCUGCCACAUAUACUAAAAUUAGAUUUUUAUUCCAAAUUUAUUCUAAAUCAGAUGAAAUAGAAUACGCACAAGUAAAAAAGGUAAGAAAGAAUCAAGGAAUCACUUAACAAUUAACAGUAGAAAAAUCAGUCACAAAUGAGGCAAGAAUCUAUUGAUAAAUCUCAUCUAUUACAUCAGUUUCCCUGGCAUCAAUAAGUUUAAAACAGCUUAGAGUACAAGCAGAACAAGGAUCCAUAUGGUGCAUCUACCUAAUAGUGACAAACUUGUUCGUACCGUGUUUAGCCCAGUGAGUUCUCAGAUCAAUCGGAUUAGAGAAGUCAUAGCCUUCACCAGCAAGUUUCUCUAAGACUUUCUUAAAAGCUCCUAGACUCAUUUUUCUCCCUGCUAUCCUUGCACCACGCCGUUUCGUACUCAUAGGCAAGGGAUACACAGAUAUGCAUGUCGUACAGCAUGCUGAUUGCCAUCCACCACAACCCCAACGAUAGCAUUGUUGGGGGUUUCCAGUACACGAGCAAACAGGUAUGGGAAUGACUGAAAUGUCCAUAUUGAUCCCAUUUAUCAUAAUUUCUGCGGUUUUCUUGGCAGCCCGUGCUCGUUGAGUAGGAGGACUACCCUCAGGCUUGGGUACUUGAGCGCCUCCCAUACCCUUCUUUGCUCUUGGGGAUUUCGGGCCUUUAUGACGCUGCCUCUUUUUAUUAGGAACAUUUACCUUUUCAACAACACCAGCCUCUUCAACUAGCUCCAGCGGUUCAUCCUUUGUUGAAUAAGGUGGUUGAAACAUUUCCAUAUGAUGAGAUGAAGAUGUUUCAGGCCAAACAGCUGCAUAAUCAUGGUUUCCAGGCAACACAUUGAGAAGCUUUUCUCUCUGGCCAAUCCAAGCGUCCUUCACGUA